UACGGAGGGGCUGAGCGUUGUUCGGAAUUACUGGGCGUAAAGCGCGACGUAGGCGGCUUUGUAAGUUAGAGGUGAAAGCCCGGGCUCGAACUCCGGAAUUGGCCUUUAAGUCGUAGCAUCGCUCGAAUUGUGGAGAGGUGAAGUGGAAUUCCGAGUGUAGAGGUGAAAUUCGUAGAUAUUGGGAAGAAGCACCGGUCGGCGAAGGCGGGUCUCUGGGCAGUAACUGACGCGAGGAGCGAAAGCGUGGGAGCGAACAGG
RNAcentral lists this ribosomal RNA (258 nucleotides) under uncultured bacterium. Its description in RNAcentral is "partial 16S ribosomal RNA". It matches the Rfam family "Bacterial small subunit ribosomal RNA", at positions 524 to 776 of the family's 1533-position model. The record is from RNAcentral.